This 66-nucleotide transfer RNA is filed under the name Cautires sp. UPOL 000074. RNAcentral describes it as "tRNA-Phe". Lineage: Eukaryota; Metazoa; Arthropoda; Insecta; Coleoptera; Lycidae. The record is from RNAcentral.
AAUAUUUUAAGACUAUCGUCUUCUUAAUAUCUUCAAUAUUAUACUUUUAAAUAAGCUAUUAAAAUA